This 86-nucleotide transfer RNA is filed under the name bacterium. RNAcentral's name for it is "tRNA-Tyr". It matches the Rfam family "tRNA". Rfam says of the family: Transfer RNA (tRNA) molecules are approximately 80 nucleotides in length. Their secondary structure includes four short double-helical elements and three loops (D, anti-codon, and T loops). The record is from RNAcentral. RNAcentral also lists the same sequence under 1 other name.
GGGAAGAUGGCUGAGCGGUCAAAAGCAACAGACUGUAAAUCUGUCGCCUUCGGGCUACAUAGGUUCGAAUCCUGUUCUUCCCACCA